Molecule: ribosomal RNA, 465 nt
Filed under: uncultured bacterium
Lineage: Bacteria
Description: partial 16S ribosomal RNA
Rfam family: Bacterial small subunit ribosomal RNA
Source: RNAcentral
GACGAACGCUGGCGGCGUGCUUAACACAUGCAAGUCGAACGGAAAGGCCCUGCUUGCAGGGUACUCGAGUGGCGAACGGGUGAGUAACACGUGGGUGAUCUGCCCUGCACUUCGGGAUAAGCCUGGGCAACUGGGUCUAAUACCGGAUAGGAGACAUUUUUAGCGUGAUGGUUGGAAAGUUUUUUCGGGGUUGGGUGAGUCGGCGGGCUAUUGGCUUGUUGGGUGGGUAAUGGCCUACCAAGGCGGCGACGGGUAGCGGGCCUGGGGGAGUGGACGGCCACAUUGAGUCUGAGGUGCGGCCGAGGCUGGUAAGGGAGGCAGAAGUGGGGAAGAUUGCACAAGCGGCGCAGGGCGGGUGAAGCAGGGCCGCGGGGGGGAAGACGGCCUUCGGGUUGUAGACUACUUUCGCUAGGAACGAAGCUUUUUGUGACGGUACCUAGAUAAGAAGCACCGGCUAACUACGUG